This is a long non-coding RNA of Esox lucius (northern pike), 909 nucleotides long. RefSeq lists it as uncharacterized. The transcript is spliced from 2 exons. NCBI's taxonomy places the organism in Eukaryota, Metazoa, Chordata, Actinopteri, Esociformes, Esocidae. The record is from RefSeq and is a predicted model, not a curated record.
UGUUAUGUUCACUUGAUACGCAACUUAGAAACGCAGUGCAUAAUUCACUUACAGUAGAGUACACCUUAUCAGGCCUGGCAGCACAGUCUCUGUCUAACCUCCGAUAGUCAACAUAAUGAGUAAACAUUAACCCAGCUCUACCUUUCUAUUCUUCAUCCUACACUGUAUUAAAACCCCUCAGCUGUGAAGGAGCUAGGCAAUGAACACUGCCUAGACUUAAGGAAUAAGGUAAAACAUAGCUUUUGGAUUGUGUGAAAGUGCUUACCUCACAAGACAGCAAGGCUUAAGGGAUUUCGGGAAUUGGAAGUGGACUUCUUGAACCAGAUGAAGGACAGGACCGUAUAAUAAAUAAUUAACAGAGGCCUACAUGUCCGAUUCCCUGUAUACAUCGUAAGCUUUACUGAGAACGUUAAUAGAUGUCUGUGGAAAGUGUUCUAGCAAAGGUUCCAGAGCAUCCUGGUCUGGAUGGGACAACAGAGGAUUGGGUCCAGUGGACUGUGCAGCGCCUGCAGAUGGAACCCUGGGCACUGGGGGGGGCCGUGGUCAUAGGGCUCUUCCUGCUGAUGAUCCUGGCUCUGGUGGUCUUUGCUCUGAUAUAUGGCUGUUGCUGCUCACCAAAGGGAGGAAAAAGGAGGAUGAAGAAUGGUGUGCUUUAGAGAAACGGGUGACCCCCAAUACCCCCAAUCUGUUGGCCAUUUCGAUGUUAUGUGAUUCCUUGACUACCCCCAAAAACACGCAUUUUUGUGAGACCCCAUUAUUUUUCAGCUUUACAGGCAAACCAAUCAAAAACAAAUUCUCAUUUACAAUGACCAGACAGCCAAAGGCAUAACAUAGCAGAUAACAUUCAGUUACCCAUAAAAACAAUUAAUAGAACAAAUUAAUAAAUUGUACCAUAAGAAGAGAUGAAAA